RNAcentral lists this ribosomal RNA (492 nucleotides) under uncultured bacterium. RNAcentral describes it as "partial 16S ribosomal RNA". It matches the Rfam family "Bacterial small subunit ribosomal RNA", at positions 29 to 507 of the family's 1533-position model. The record is from RNAcentral.
AGUGAACGCUGGCGGUAGGCCUAACACAUGCAAGUCGAACGGCAGCACAGUAAGAGCUUGCUCUUACGGGUGGCGAGUGGCGGACGGGUGAGGAAUACAUCGGAAUCUACUUUUUCGUGGGGGAUAACGUAGGGAAACUUACGCUAAUACCGCAUACGACCUACGGGUGAAAGCAGGGGAUCUUCGGACCUUGCGCGAUUGAAUGAGCCGAUGUCGGAUUAGCUAGUUGGCGGGGUAAAGGCCCACCAAGGCGACGAUCCGUAGCUGGUCUGAGAGGAUGAUCAGCCACACUGGAACUGAGACACGGUCCAGACUCCUACGGGAGGAAGCAGUGGGGAAUAUUGGACAAUGGGCGCAAGCCUGAUCCAGCCAUACCGCGUGGGUGAAGAAGGCCUUCGGGUUGUAAAGCCCUUUUGUUGGGAAAGAAAAGCAGCAGGUUAAUACCACGCUGUUCUGACGGUACCCAAAGAAUAAGCACCGGCUAACUUCGUG